ACCUGUUUAUCAAAAACAUGUCCUAUAGAUUUUAUUUUAGGUCUAACCUGCCCAUUGAUUAAUUAAAAGGCCGCAGAAUUUUAACUGUGCAAAGGUAGCAUAAUCAUUAGUUUUUUAAUUGAAAGCUUGUAUGAAUGGUUGGACGAGGUGCUAGCUGUUUCAUGAUAAAAUAUAAAAUUUUAUUUUUUAGUCAAAAAGCUAAAAUAAAUUUAAAAGACGAGAAGACCCUAUAGAUCUUUAUAAUUAUGAUUUUAUUUAUUAUAAGGAUUAAUUUAAUUAAUAUUAUUUACAUUAUUUUGUUGGGGUGACAUAGAUACUUAUAUAACUUUCUAUAUUUUAUUUACAUUUAUUUAUGAAUAUAUGAUCCUUAUUUUUAGAUUAAAAAAUUAAGUUACCUUAGGGAUAACAGCGUAAUUUUUUUGGAGAGUUCAUAUCGAUAAAAAAGAUUGCGACCUCGAUGUUGGAUUAAAAUAA
Molecule: ribosomal RNA, 474 nt
Filed under: Cerdistus sp. LRC-2002
Lineage: Eukaryota; Metazoa; Arthropoda; Insecta; Diptera; Asilidae
Description: partial 16S ribosomal RNA
Rfam family: Bacterial large subunit ribosomal RNA
Source: RNAcentral